AUAUGCAUGGGUUUAUUUGUGGACUCUAUUAUUCUAAUGAUCUAUGUGUCUGUUUUUAUGCAAAUACCAUACUGUUUUGAUUACUAUUAUUUUAUAAUAUAGUUUGAAAUUUGGGAGUGUGAGCUCUCCAGCCUUGUUAUUCUUUCUCAAGAUUGUUUUGGCUAUUCAGGAUCUUUUGUGGUUCCACACAAAUUUUAGAAUUGUUUCUUCUAUUUCUGUGGAAAAAUACCAUUGGAAUUUUGAUAGGGAUUGCAAUGAAUCUACAGAUUUCAUUUGGUAAGAUGGACAUUUUAACAAUAUUAAUUCUUCCAAUCCAUGAGCACAAAAUAGCUUUCCAUUUAUUAGUGUCUUCUUCAAUUUAUUUCAUCAAUGUCUCAGAGUUUUCAGAGUACAGAUCUUUUAGCCCCUUGCUUAAAUUUAUUUCUAGAUAUUUUAGUCUUUUUGAUGCACUUAUAAAUGGGAUUAUUCUCUUAAAUUCUCUUUCUGAUAGUUCAUUGUUGGUAUACAAAAAUGCAGGAAUGGUGUGGAGGGUGGAGUGCUCACCUGCUGACACUUACAGGCUAGAGUAAGGAUAAAAAACGACAUCCACGCACACCUGCAAUCAGCAAGGCAGAGGGAGAGUGUGAAGAUGGCUCCCGCCUGUGCCUCCGACCCAGAGAGAGUCCCAACAAGCUUCUGCACCUCCAGCAAGUGACUUAAGAUCCAGGGCCUGCCUGCCUGUAUUCCCUUCCAGGCUGCCAAAUGCCAAGACCUGCUCCAGACGAAGGCUGCUUUGGCCAACCAAGACUCAUCUGCCCCCAGGGGGUCACAUGGCCAAGCCAGAGGAGACAACAAGAAGCCAAAUCAACUCUGGGCCAGGUGGAUUCCCCAUUUAAGAGCCAUUGAUGCUUUGCGGUAAAGACCAGAGCGUGGAGAGAGGUGCUGGUGCCGCCCUUUCAGGAGCUACUCCUCCUGCGGUGAGUACAACCAAUGCGUGUAUGAACAGAUCAAUUUGCAUGGUAUUAGUUAUUUAUUUUAUAGUAGUUAUUCCCUCAGUCGUGGUAUGCCCUACACCAUUAUUCGCCACUUGCCAAGUGACUUAAGAGCACGAUAGCGAUCAUUCAAAUCUAUUAACCUUUCUUUCUGAGUUUGAAAGUAAUUAGCAGCCUUCUGGCCUGCGUUGCCUAGGGCAGGAUGGUGAAUAUUGAAAGAGUAAUCUUGCCAUUUGAAGUGCUUCUGGCUUGAAUAAAUGUUUGCUCAGUUGCAGCAAUGCCCAGGUAAUUCCUUGGUAAUGAAGCAGGGAUCACCUUCCAGCGCUAGGGCGGGCAGGAAAAAUUAGUAGAUGCGGGAAUAGCUUGUGGGGUAGAUCUCUCUCAGCCUACCUUUCAGGUUUCUAUUUUAAAGAGGAAUUGCUGGUGUCUGUUCCUACUACCCAAGACGUAGGAAAUGAAACAAACCAAAAGGAGAAAACCGAAAAGUUAUUUCAGGCUGGCCGAUCUUAAACAACAACAAAAAACAACCCGAGGGAAUCCUGAAUAUCACAAACCAGGAGGCCUAGCCUGUCAUCCAAAUUUUAUUAAGAUCGUAGGGAUGGUUCUUCCCUCCUUAAGUCUUUUGUGUAUGGGGAGUUAGUUCUGUAAAGGCAAGUUUGCCAGUUAAUUCAUCACAGGUCUUCCUUUGUUGCACCCAUAUUUGUUUCUCCCCAGUCACAUUGUGUUUACAGUUAAUAACCACCACCUAUUAUCUCCAAUCUCUUCCUUCUGCCUUUCUGCGGUCCUGUCUUCUCCUUUAGUACAAAACUCCUCCUAUAAACCUCUAUGCAAAAUUCUCUCACAGUUUACUAAACCUCCCUUUCCUAACUGUAGGUGGUGAUUCCAGCUGCCCUCUGGGCAUCUCUACCUGAAUUUCCUGCUCUUGCUUGAAGCUCAACGUAUCCCAAACUGAACUUAUCCCCAGAUCUGCUCCUGCUCUUUCUAAUCAUUGCUGAAGCCCUGAGUAUGGGUUUUGGAUCUGCCCCCCUCCAUGAAUUCCUGCUGCCCACAGUCAAGUUGCUCUCACUCUUUCUAGGACUUCUUUGAAGUUCUUUUAGUUGACCUCAAUGCUUUUCAAAUACCAUUCCUGUAGGCAACCUGCCCAUUCAUUUUAGGCACAACUGUGGUCAAUCUGCCGCCCAACAACCAUGAGUAGCCCAUUAACGAAUUAGAGAGACGCUCCCCGGCCCAGCUGCACCACCAGAGCU
This is a long non-coding RNA of Felis catus (domestic cat), 2218 nucleotides long. RefSeq lists it as uncharacterized. The record is from RefSeq and is a predicted model, not a curated record. The transcript is spliced from 3 exons. Lineage: Eukaryota; Metazoa; Chordata; Mammalia; Carnivora; Felidae.